GGCCGAGUGGCGGAAUUGGCAGACGCACGGGACUUAAAAUCCCGUAUCGGGUAACCGGUGUGCGGGUUCGAUCCCCGCUUCGGCCA
This 86-nucleotide transfer RNA is filed under the name Planctomycetales bacterium. RNAcentral's name for it is "tRNA-Leu". It matches the Rfam family "tRNA". Rfam says of the family: Transfer RNA (tRNA) molecules are approximately 80 nucleotides in length. Their secondary structure includes four short double-helical elements and three loops (D, anti-codon, and T loops). The record is from RNAcentral. Lineage: Bacteria; Pseudomonadati; Planctomycetota; Planctomycetia; Planctomycetales.